GGGGGGAACGCGGGGGACGGGGAGGCGCGGCGGGCAGGCGGCACCUGUGGGCCCCGCCGGCCCUUCCCCGGCGUGCCGGCGGGGAGCCUGCGGGACGGCCCUGGCCGGGUCACCGACUUGGGCAUGUCGGCCGGCCGCCGGGCAGCUGCUCUGCUCGCCGCAGGACCUCGUAGCGGGCGGGGAGGGCACUGCCGGCCCGGCGACCGGAGUCAGCGGCGUGGCGGCGGGUCCCCUGCCCCAGGUGUUCCGGGAACAGCGACGACAGCUCGUCCCGCCGCGGGAGAGAUGGCCCUGUCCCGUGAUAAAGCCGCCGUGGCUUGUCAGCAGUUCAUGUAACAUGUUAGCGAGCCCCGAGACUUCCCGUCCGGGAAUUUAGGGGGUCGGGGGGAGAGUGAGGCGAGGACAGGACAACACAGGUGAAUGCCAGGGACUGGGAGCGCGGACGGGGCAGGCAGCCGAGGCCGGGCUCAGCACUGGGACUUGCUGAGCGCGAUGCAGAAGCAGGGUUCUGGAUAACAGGGUGGCCCGCUUGCAUCUGUGCUCUAGAACAAAAAUGUGGGCAGUGGAUUGCGGUGCCACGGGCCCUGGAAACACGUAUGGUUGGUGGGGGGGAAGCUCCUCGGGGCGCGCAGGCCAAAGAAGGGAGAGACGUCUGCACCUGCCCUGCGAGACGUUCAAAGGGCGCGCUCUGCGGCCCUAAGGCCUGGUUGCGGUUCUGGCUGCCAUUGUAUAAUCUAUAAUGCAGACACAUCCUGAUCUACCUUCUAAGAAGCCAAAAACAACUCAUCCCUGCUGCUGUCAGCAGGUGGGGGAGUUUAGGAAACUUUCCAGGAUCUCACAGCCAGUAAGCUGGUGUCCCUCACCCCAGAGUGACAGUGGCGGGUCCAGUCUGUCAACAGAAGGAGGACCAAGCUUCACAAAGUCUCUUUCAGCAAAGCUUCUACAUGGUGCCCGUUUAUUCAUGUAAAAAUAUAAAAACUGCUAACAUUGAAAAGAGUGGCACAAGGAUUUUAUUAAUUACUCCCAGCUUUUUCAUACAGUUUUGUUUGAAUGGAAUACUUUGCCUUUUUCGAAUUAAAAAC
RNAcentral lists this long non-coding RNA (1082 nucleotides) under Zalophus californianus (California sea lion). RNAcentral's name for it is "lncRNA (ENSZCAG00015017175.1)". Lineage: Eukaryota; Metazoa; Chordata; Mammalia; Carnivora; Otariidae. The record is from RNAcentral.